This is a long non-coding RNA of Girardinichthys multiradiatus, 646 nucleotides long. RefSeq lists it as uncharacterized. The transcript has 3 exons. The record is from RefSeq and is a predicted model, not a curated record. NCBI's taxonomy places the organism in Eukaryota, Metazoa, Chordata, Actinopteri, Cyprinodontiformes, Goodeidae.
CAAUCAGCUCCAGUUGCUCUGAAGACCAUAUAAAAGCAGCUUCUGCAGGUUGGAGUCAUUGUGAUCUGACCUUUGUGUUGGUGUAGUCCACUGUCUCCAGUUUGUGCUGAGGUUCCAGUAGCAGCUAUAGAAUGAGGCUGGUGUGGGUUUCUUUCCUGCUGUUUGGAAGCAUCACCUGUGAUCCUCGACAAGAAGGAGGUGGUCCAACAUGGCGACCAUCAGCACAGCCAGCAUGCAGCUCCAGGAGAUGGCAGCGCUCAGUUUGCAGAGGAGAGCUGGAGCUCUUCAUCUGAUACCAGUGGUGAAGAUGAGCCAGUCUUCUCCCUUGUAGAUGAAGAGGAUCAAGAGUACACCUACAAGUCAAAGUCACGAUACAACCGUAAGCAGCUGAGGUUCAGCCAAUUCCACUACACCCCAACAGAACAAAUUGUUCUCCAGCCACUAGGGUUUCCCCAUCGUGGGAAAACCUCAUCAUCCAGGCAAAAAGGACUACUGAGGAUGUGUGGUGAGAGUCACUUAACUAAGUGUUCAGCCUCACUGCUGAGGUUCUGACUGACUGUCUUUUCCAGGUCUGAACGUUCAGCAGUGGUUCCUUGAUUCAUUAAAAUAUGAAGAUGUCAGAAUAAAAUGCCUUGUCCUCCUGAAA